Long non-coding RNA from Triticum aestivum (bread wheat), 673 nucleotides. RefSeq lists it as uncharacterized. The record is from RefSeq and is a predicted model, not a curated record. The transcript is spliced from 3 exons. Lineage: Eukaryota; Viridiplantae; Streptophyta; Magnoliopsida; Poales; Poaceae.
UGUCCAUGCCUGAGCAAGGUGGGCUCGCUCGUCCCCUUCCCGAAACCGCACUAGCCGGCGGUGCCCCAUCCGCGGCUCCGGCGAACUGGACCGUGCCUUUCGUCUUGCACGCACGGCCGCCAUUGCUCGCCGCCAAAUCCUCCCCUCCCUGGUAUAGCAUCUCUCUGCCGCAUCCGUCUGCAGGGGCGCCCGCCGCCCCGCCGACCGCCGUUCCUAGUCGACGGCCUCCGGAAGGGGGAGGGGGGCGACGGGGACGCCUUGGCGUCGUCUUCUUCGGUCUCAUCCCCCCCUCGUCCACAAAGGGCCAGACAAGUAUGCAGCCUGAAGGGCAAGGAUGGGGAUAAAUCAUACGAGUGGUUCAGUAAAAGAAAAUCACUCGAAUGGCAAUUCAAAUAACGGUCAAGAGUGAAAAUCACUUUGCAAAAAGUACCUGCUGAUUGAAGCUGAUUGAAGCUGCGGUGGGCAGCUGCCUGGAAGCAGUUGGAUGCCUCGUUGACCGGCAUUCUAACCAUAUGGAGCCUUGUCUCACUAACCACACAACUCUGUCAGGUUUGCUCGCUGACCAGGGUGGUGGAAACCUUGUGUUCUUUGUGAACAUCUGUAUUAACUAGCGGAGGGUAAUUCUGGCAUUUUUCUGUACAUUUUGCCCCGCCAAAUAUGAGGUUUUGACUUA